This is a long non-coding RNA of Vulpes vulpes (red fox), 527 nucleotides long. The record is from Ensembl. Lineage: Eukaryota; Metazoa; Chordata; Mammalia; Carnivora; Canidae.
AUGAAGGGCCAAUCACUUACCCAGAGAGAUAAAGACAAAGCCAGGGAUAGAGCAGGCCUGCCCAGGCUCCAGAAAGGUUUUUGGAAGUAUCCUCCAUCAGGAAGACGCCAGGGUUGCUAUGCUCUUUUUCACCAUGCUGACUGCUUUCCAGCUCCAGAUGAAUAGAAUUUGUGGACAGUAAUGAUCUGUCACCAGCAUUUGAGACUAUGAAUCUUCUGAUGUAUCAACUCCUGUGAAUCACAACUAUGAUUUAGUCUCUCCCUCUCUUUUUUAGCUUUAUUGAAAUUUCAAAAAUAUGGCAUGCAAUACAGGUGAUUAGUAAGAUAAAGCCAAUUUGUUGCUAAAGAUCUCAUAAGUUGCCAUUUAUCAAUAGUUUGGUAAAACCAGAUAUUGUUGGCUCACUGAGAAUAGAGCCAUUUAUCAACUGUGUUUGUGUACGCAUACAUGUAUCUUUUCCAUGUUUCUGAAAAUAAGAUAAAUGUUAUUUUUAAGGAUUCUAAUUACUAAAUUAUAACUCCAGACCCUUU